ACUUGCACCAGUGCCCAGAGAGGGGGUGCAGGCUGAGGAGCUGCCCAGAGCACCGCUCACACUCCCAGAGUACCUGAAGUCGGCAUUUCAAUGACAGGGCACCUUCAGCCUGCGGAAGCUAUGGGCCUUCACGGGGCCUGGCUUCCUCAUGAGCAUUGCUUUCCUGGACCCAGGAAACAUCGAGUCGGAUCUUCAGGCUGGCGCCGUGGCGGGAUUCAAAAGAUGGGGUCUCACUAUGUUGCUCAGGCUGCUCUUGAACUCCUGGACUCAAGCAAUCCUCCCACCUUAGCCUUUUAAAGUGCUGGGAUUACAGGCUUCUCUGGGUGCUGCUCUGGGCCACGGUGUUGGGCUUGCUCUGCCAGCGACUGGCUGCACGUCUGGGCGUGGUGACAGGCAAGGACUUGGGCGAGGUCUGCCAUCUCUACUACCCUAAGGUGCCUCGCACCGUCCUCUGGCUGACCAUCGAGCUAGCCAUUGUGGGUUCCGACAUGCAGGAAGUCAUCGGCACGGCCAUUGCAUUCAAUCUGCUCUCAGCUGGACGGUACCACCCCAGUGUACCCCAACUCUUCAGG
This 572-nucleotide small RNA is filed under the name Pongo abelii (Sumatran orangutan). RNAcentral's name for it is "retained intron". The record is from RNAcentral. Lineage: Eukaryota; Metazoa; Chordata; Mammalia; Primates; Hominidae.